AGACUACCAGGGAUUCCCCUAGUAAUGGCGAAUGAACAGGGAAAAGCCCAACUUUAAAAUCACUUUACGGUGAAUUGUAGUUUAUAAGAGGGUAGAACUAUGCUGCCUUGCCUUAAGUUUCUUGAAAAAGAACUACAGAGAGGGUGAAAUACCCGUUUUGGUGCAAGUAGUAGUAUAGAACUUAACUCUAAAGAGUCAUGUUGCUUGGGAAUGCAGCAUAAAGUGGGAGGUAAAUUCCUUCUAAGGCUAAAUACUGGUAGGAGCCCGAUAGUAAACAAGUACCUUAAGGGAAAGAUGAAAGAGAACCUUGAAAAGGGUCUCAAAAGAAAGUGAAAUUGUUAUAAGGAAAGCGCUUAAAACUUCUGGAAUCUAUAUAUUAAUAUAUGGGGAAGCAAUUCUCUUGUUAUUAAUAUGUGGGUGACUAUUGCUCGGGUUUGAGCUUAUGAAAUUUUUAAAGUAAGGUAAGUUGGAUUUCGGUCUAACUUCUUACAGACUUUUUAAAUUUCUAAAGUUUGGGCCAGUGUAGAAAGUCAUAUGGUAGCUAGCUCUUGACAUAAAUAGAAUAAUAGAUUUAUCUAGCGUUUUGUUUGUUUUAAGGUCUAGUACUGCUAAAUGCUUUAAUAGUUAAGAAGGUUUAAGCGACCCGUCUUGAAACACGGACCAAGGAGUCUAACAUGUAUGCAAGUAUUAUGGUGUAAAACCAGUAUGCACAAUGAAAGUAAUUUCAAGGUAGGAUCCCGCAAGGGUGCACUAUCGACCGAGCUAAAGAGAUUUUUUUCUUUGGUUUGAGUAAGAGCAUAUAUGUUGGUACCCGAAAGAUGGUGAACUAUGCCUGAAUAGGGUGAAGCCAGGGGAAACCCUGGUGGAAGCUCGUAGCGAUUCUGACGUGCAAAUCGAUCGUCAAAUUU
Molecule: ribosomal RNA, 908 nt
Filed under: Pandora neoaphidis
Lineage: Eukaryota; Fungi; Entomophthoromycota; Entomophthoromycetes; Entomophthorales; Entomophthoraceae
Description: eukaryotic LSU rRNA
Rfam family: Eukaryotic large subunit ribosomal RNA
Source: RNAcentral